Molecule: long non-coding RNA, 100 nt
Filed under: Mus spicilegus (steppe mouse)
Lineage: Eukaryota; Metazoa; Chordata; Mammalia; Rodentia; Muridae
Description: lncRNA (ENSMSIG00000002256.1)
Source: RNAcentral
AGAGGACCUCGGGAAUGUAGACAGGAUUGGCAGCCCUUCCCAGAGCCUUCAGGAAACCCCACCAAACUGCCGGGAGCUGGCAUGCUUACUGGGACUGCAU